ACGCUCGACACCUACGGGAGACAGCAGUGGGGAAUAUUGGGCAAUGGAGGCAACUCUGACCCAGCAACGCCGCGUGAAUGAUGAAGGUCUUCGGAUUGUAAAGUUCUGUGACGGGGGACGAACACAAUGACGGUACCCCGAUAGCAAGCCACGGCUAACUACGUGCCAGCAGCCGAGGUAAUCUGAGCGGGCUGGCAAGGC
Molecule: ribosomal RNA, 201 nt
Filed under: uncultured bacterium
Lineage: Bacteria
Description: partial 16S ribosomal RNA
Rfam family: Bacterial small subunit ribosomal RNA
Source: RNAcentral